UGCUGCUGAUAAGGAGGCUUCGGGCGGCAGAGAGAGCAGAGCUGCCGUGUGUGUGCGGGGAGAUGGCGGGCUGGGAGACGGGCAGUGUUACGCCGGGUUGCCCGGAGCGGGUUCCCCGCCGUCACGGUGACAUGGUAGGCCGCUGGGUAAGAGCCGAGAAGUCGGCCGGCGGCUGUAGUCGGGGGUCAGGGUGGUGGAGAGCGCCAUGAGAUGGAGUGAGGGGAGACGGCACAAAAUGGCGGCCGUGGCAGGGCUGCAGUUGGCGGUUAGCGGGCUCCUGUGUGCUCCCGCGGGCUCUGCGCGGCCUCACUACAGGGGUACGUGGGGCAGAGUGAGCGGGGAUGCCGCUGUGAAGAGACCCCGGGGUCCCGUGUGGCCCUGACAUCCGACUGACACAUCCUCCCAGCAAUGGCGGCCAUGGAGGUGGACUAUGUUUUCAGGACUGUUAUCUCAUAUCUUUAAAGUGCAUGAUAUGCUGAAGCAUGCCAUUUGUAAUGGAAAACGGCAUGGGACUUAUCAUGAGGUAUUGAUCAACACUCAAGUACAAUUAUUGACCUUCAAGUCCAUGGGCAAUUGGAGUGGAGCCUACUGAUGAGAAGUAAAGGAUCUAAUAUGAUUUACAUGGGGCUUAAUGGAUUGGAUCCUACUUUAAUAUUGGCUAUUCACUUCAAGAACUGAUUAUUGGAACAUGGACUUCGUUGCUGAAACACCAAGAAAGUCUCUUUUGUUAGUAUUAACGUGCUAUUAUGUUUUUGUUUUGAGGCUUUUUUUUUUUUUUUACCAUUAUGUUUCUUUAUAAUAUUGAUACUGAUUCUUUACAUUUUUGUAAUGUAAAUUGUGAAGCCUUUUUUAAAAUAAAGAAAAACUUAU
Pseudophryne corroboree (corroboree frog) is the source of this 870-nucleotide long non-coding RNA. RefSeq lists it as uncharacterized. Lineage: Eukaryota; Metazoa; Chordata; Amphibia; Anura; Myobatrachidae. The transcript is spliced from 5 exons. The record is from RefSeq and is a predicted model, not a curated record.